AGGGUGCACUAUAUAAGGAAUAGGGUGCACUAUAUAGGGAAUAGUGUGCACUAUAUAGGGAAUAGGGUGCACUAUAUAAGGAAUAGGGUGCACUAUAUAGGGAAUAGUGUACACUAUAUAGGGAAUAGGGUGCACUAUAUAGGGAAUAGGGUGCACUAUAUAGGGAAUAGGGUGUACUAUAUAGGGAAUAGGGUGCACUAUAUAGGGAAUAGUGUGCACUAUAUAGGGAAUAGGGUGCACUAUAUAGGGAAUAGGGUGCACUAUAUAGGGAAUAGGGUGCACUAUAUAGGGAAUAGGGUGUACUAUAUAAUCAGUUAACCACACUUAGCUCCUAUAAAUCUGGCUGAGUGAUGUGGUGUCUCCUGGGGGAACGGCUCGUCUCUGUGUUAGUUACACUGUUGAUGUGUUAGUUACACUGUUGAUGUGUUCGUUACACUGUUGAUGUGUUAGUUACACUGUUGAUGUGUUAGUUACACUGUUGAUGUGUUCGGAACAGACAACCAGUCGUUGGUUACUGCAGCUGAACACACACACGCAGGCAGACAGACAGACAGAUGUACACACACACAGACAGACAGACACACAAACAGACACAGACAGAUGUACACACACACGCAGGCAGACAGACAGACAGACAGACAGACAGAUGUACACACACACGGACAGACAGACAGACAGACAGACAGACAGACAGACAGACAGACAGACAGACAGACAGACAGACAGACAGACAGACGUACACACACACACGGACAGACACACACAGACAGACAUACACACACACACAGACAGACAGACAUACACAGACACACACACACACACACACACACACAUACAGACAUACACACACACAUACAGACAUACACACACACACACAGACAUACACAUACACACAUACAGACAUACACACACACACACACAGACAUACACACACACAGACAUACACACACACAGACAUACACAUACACACAUACAGACAUACACACACACACACAGACAUACACACACACAGACAUACACACACACACACACACAGAAAGACACAGACACACACACACACACAGACACACACACACACACAUACACACACACACAUACAGACAUACACACACACACAUACAGACAUACACACACACACAGACACACACACACACACACACACACACACAUACAGACAUACACACACACACAGACACACACA
This is a long non-coding RNA of Oncorhynchus tshawytscha (Chinook salmon), 1201 nucleotides long. The record is from Ensembl. NCBI's taxonomy places the organism in Eukaryota, Metazoa, Chordata, Actinopteri, Salmoniformes, Salmonidae.